Cavia porcellus (domestic guinea pig) is the source of this 3801-nucleotide long non-coding RNA. RefSeq lists it as uncharacterized. NCBI's taxonomy places the organism in Eukaryota, Metazoa, Chordata, Mammalia, Rodentia, Caviidae. The transcript has 3 exons. The record is from RefSeq and is a predicted model, not a curated record.
UUUGUCUGGCACACACCAUGCUGCGGGUCUCAUUCCCAGCCCUGGAAAGAAACGAGCAGGAUGCACGUGGUCAGAGCAGGGCAUCUCAGCAGGACAAGGCCACCAGUCUUCAUUCCACCCUAGUGCAUUUGAGCGGCAGCAGCUGGGUCACAGCCCCCAGAGGAGUGUAGCUCGGCGGGCAGUGGCAGCUCAGAGCCACUGCGCCUUGAGUUGCUGUCUUACCGCUGCCCCUCAGAGGCCUUGUCCCUUGCAGAUGCCCUUCCUUCCUUGUCUGCAGGAUGGCUGUUUGGUCACUAUGGUCAGUCACUGGACUGGCAGAGCUUCCAUCUUCCGCCGGCCUGAAUAGCUGCGCUGAGGUUCCUGUGUAGCCACACAGACUGCCCAGGGCUUCUCGGAUCCUGCCUGGUGUCCCUCCUGCCUGUCUGCUCUGCAGGCUUGCGCUUCCCUGCCUCCUCCGCACAGAGAACUCCUGUUACUUUCUGCACCACCUCCUUCGGAAUCGUUUGGAAUGGAACCAUUGUGCUGUCUUCCUCCAGCAUUUGUUCACAACUCGUCCACUGAACUGAUAGUUAGGAACUAGGUAGAGAAGAGUCUUUGGAUUGACCUGCUCACUGGUCUGGCAGCCUGGCCAGCCAGGGUCUGUACAGAGGAGGGGAUGCAAAGACGGCCGUGGGUCACAUGGCCAAGAAGCCCACCGGAGCUCAUGUCUGUGCCGCCAGGUCCCUACUGUUGGCACCAGUCACAUUGGCUCCAGGGCCCCUGUUUCCUAGACCAGACAGCCAGGCCAGUCUUCCCCACCCCUCUUCAAUUAAUCCUCUAUUUUGGUUGACUUAAGAGUCAAACUGCAGGAGAACUGCACCCAAAUGGGAUAAGCUCACUUAAAUCACUGGCAGGUAACGUGAUAGAUGGCUUGGCCGGCACCCAUGGUGGGAAUUAAGCAAAGCCUGAGCUGCAGCGACAGUGGGAAAUAACCUUGAGUGACUGCGGUAAGCAGGUGACCUCGUUUCACCUGGGGGCCAGCACCCACCCUGCACUCUGACUCAGAUGGGAAGGUUGCAUGCAGUGCCUGCCCAGUGGGUGGCUGGUGCUUUUCUCCAGCCUCUUCGUCCCACAGCAGGACCAGUGCCUCAGCAGCUGGACCCCCGGCAGAAUGGACAAGUCAUCCAGCUGGGAAAGGACAUGGGACUGAAACUGGGUCCCAUGUCCUUUCCCACGAGCCUGGGUCUCAUGUGCUCCAGCCCGGCCAGGUGAGGAUUCUAGCAAAUGGUCCCAUCUGCUGAGCUCACACGCUUGUUGGGGGAACCUAGGAAGAACCUGCAAGGGGCAGGAAAAGGCUGCUUUAGGGUCACAGGAAGAAACUGACUGUGACCAGAAACCGCUCUUACCAAGGAGAAACUUCAAGGUGCUUGCUUUUAUCAAGAUGAAGAUUCCUAGCAGAACUUCAGAUAAGCAGAACAAACAAGCUUCUGCCCAAGUGGGAACUGGUUCUGUUCCCUUUCUUUGCUUUUGUAAGUCAUCAAAGCCAAGUUCCUAAAGUCUGACUGUCUCACGGUACUUUCUGAUGGUUUCAUUGUUUUGUUUAUUGUGCUUAUGACAAGUGCUAACAGACCGCUUUCAAAGUGUGUUGAUAUUUCAGUUGUUUUUGAAUAACCCUUCUGUUUUUCUGCAUCUGGACAGCAUUAGAGUCUGGCCCCAGGAAACCACUGGGCUCCUAUAAAAGUGAACCAGGUCCCCUUGUGCAGAAAACACUGGCCAUGACAAGAUCAGACAUCCAUCUGGGCAAGAACACACUCGAAAUAUGAGCAGACUCAUGAGGCUGUGUUCAGCAGCCAGGGAAGACAGGCCUGGUCUGGGAGGAGGCCAGUGAGCCGCGUCGAGUGGGCUGUGGGUGUCUGUCUUUGUGCAUGGGAAUACUGUGUUCAGCCAAUGUGCCUAGCAGAGUGCCUGGCACUGCUCACUGCACAAAUUAUUCGCUGUCUAGAGGUCCCUAGUCUGUCUCUUUCUUGUUUUCUCACAGGUUGCUGGUCAUUCACCAGCAUAGUAUAGGAGCAGGAGUCUCCUGCCUUUUGCAGAUGGGAAGGGGAUCUAGGAGUGGAAUAGGCUUAGGGGAUGUGAGUUAUUCCUAAACCUUCCUGCAAGGUCACCUCUGUUUUCCUCCGUUCCAGUGGGCCCUGUAGCCCCUGCACCUUGUGAGUGCAUAGAUGGUCCUCUCCUACUGGGUUUUGGAGUGGCAGGACCCCCUCUGGGUUGAUCCUGGUUGCUCUGUGUUUCAGUUGAAGAGGGUCCUAUCUUUGUGCCCUGGUUUAGUGGGCCUCCCUGAGGUCACUGUGAGAGUCAGGCAGGAGGGAGGUUUCAAGGUGCUAAGAGCUUGGGAGUAUCCAUGCUGCACUUGGAGGAGAUCCAGGUUGUCCAGAUGAGGGAAGAAGUUAGUUCAGUCAGCUGGUUCUAAAAAUGAAUCCUGGAGGCUCUUGUAAUUAAUUAGCAUGCUCAUGCAUAUAAAUGGCUUGGAUGGGCAGGACUACACCUUCUGAUCGGCAGUGGUUGGGGGUCCAUUCACCAGUUCUUGAUUCCUUUAUGGCAGCCCUCCCUGGCUUUUCCUUCCAGAUAAACUCUAUGGUGACAGCUAGUUUUCCACUGGUGUAACGAAUUCCUGAGCUCAUUGACUUUUAAGGGCAAAGGUUUCAAUCCAUGAUUACAUGGACCUGUUGCUUUGGGCUUCUAGUUUGGGGUGAGGGGAAGAGCACGUCAUGGCAGGAGUAUGUUGUAGAGCAAAGUGUUCACCCCGUGGAGGGAAAGAAAUAGGUGACCAGGGUCCCACAGUCUCCUUCAAGGACAUCCUCCAGUGACCAGAAUCUUCUACCAGGCCUCUCCUCCCCAAGCAUCAAUCAUGGAGCAAAGCUUUAACACAUGGGCCUCUAGGGAACAUUUCAGAUCCAAACUAUGGCAGGUUAUCUUGAUAAAAACACCUGAGUAAGCUUCUUUUUUUUUUUUUUUUUUUUUUGGUCUUUUUCGUUUUUAUCGGUGCCAGGGAUCGAACUCACGACUGCCUGCUUGCAAGGCAGGCGCUUAUGCCACUGAGCUAAAUCCCCAGUCCCUUGAGUAAGCUUCUUAUCCUUGAAGAACCCUCAGAACGUCAUCCCACCUGGGAGACCCAAGGGUAUGCUCAGCAACACUGAUUUUGGUUCAGCAGGGCACACUCUCACUGGCCAUUGGUUCUAGAGUAGAUGCAGGGAGGCUGUGGGUCUAGGCCCAGACGCCCCAACAAGGGGAGUAGCCGGCCUGGCAGGGGCUGAGCUGUUUCCCAUGUUAUUCUCUGGAUAGGCAGGGUAGAGAACUGCGCUCUUUUCUCUGCUGUGAGAUGUAUAUGCGUGUAUGUGCCUGUGUGUGAACACUUGUCAUUUUGAAAAAUUCUAAACUUUAUGUAGCAGUUUCUCUCUCACCAGGAUCUCUUCUUGUGUGAAACUUUAAUUUUAUAGUUUUGGCUGUUAAUUCAUCAUGGGUACCACCAUCAAUAAAUAUUUAUUGAGCUUUCACUGGGCCCAGCGUGUUGAAAUAAGAGCUAUAUAUUUGACUCAAGAGGAGUUGAUAGCUGAUGAGGGUAGAUUUGGGGAAGCGUGGGAGAAGUUUCUUGGAGGUCUCUUCCAACCCUGAGAUUUUACGACUUUGUAAGUACAGUGACAGGGUCACCUUGACAAGAGCCAAGCUGUCUGCACAGACAACACAAUGGGCCUUCUUUGAGAGAUGCUUGCCCCUGUGUGGGAGCCCACAGCUCUCAUGAGCAACAUGAGCCCCAUGCCCAUU